GUGGGGAAUAUUGGACAAUGGGCGAAAGCCUGAUCCAGCCAUGCCGCGUGUGUGAAGAAGGUCUUCGGAUUGUAAAGCACUUUAAGUUGGGAGGAAGGGCAGUAAGUUAAUACCUUGCUGUUUUGACGUUACCAACAGAAUAAGCACCGGCUAACUUCGUGCCAGCAGCCGCGGUAAUACGAAGGGUGCAAGCGUUAAUCGGAAUUACUGGGCGUAAAGCGCGCGUAGGUGGUUCAGCAAGUUGGAGGUGAAAUCCCCGGGCUCAACCUGGGAACUGCCUCCAAAACUACUGAGCGAGAGUACGGUAGAGGGUAGUGGAAUUUCCUGUGUAGCGGUGAAAUGCGUAGAUAUAGGAAGGAACACCAGUGGCGAAGGCGACUACCUGGACUGAUACUGACACUGAGGUGCGAAAGCGUGGGGAGCAAACAGGAUUAGAAACCCUUGUAGUCC
This 450-nucleotide ribosomal RNA is filed under the name uncultured bacterium. Its description in RNAcentral is "partial 16S ribosomal RNA". It matches the Rfam family "Bacterial small subunit ribosomal RNA", at positions 354 to 796 of the family's 1533-position model. The record is from RNAcentral.